Molecule: small RNA, 129 nt
Filed under: Mangrovibacter sp. MFB070
Lineage: Bacteria; Pseudomonadati; Pseudomonadota; Gammaproteobacteria; Enterobacterales; Enterobacteriaceae
Description: RtT RNA
Rfam family: RtT RNA
About the family: This family represents a bacterial cis-regulatory element known as RtT RNA. The exact function of RtT is unknown although it is thought that it may be involved in changing the cellular response in relation to amino acid starvation.
Source: RNAcentral
CCGUGAUUCAUUAAGGGAGGGUGAGAACCCUCGCCAGGGUUCGACUGAUACCGCAGGUAUCAGGACAACCUGUGCAACAGGUUGCCCCGCAGGGGUGAGCGUAGCGAAUCAAUCCCUCCCUCACCAUUC